CAUUGUGUGCCUAUGGCAGUAGA
RNAcentral lists this non-coding RNA (23 nucleotides) under Rattus norvegicus (Norway rat). The record is from RNAcentral. Lineage: Eukaryota; Metazoa; Chordata; Mammalia; Rodentia; Muridae.